UUGCAGUUAAAAAGCUCGUAGUCGGAUUUCAGUAUUAGGCCCUUCUUCCAAUACGGUUGCUAGUGGUCUUUACUUCCUUAACAGAAUCUUUCAUCUCAUUAAUUUGGGGUGUUUGGGGCCUGUUUCUUUUACUUUGAGAAAAUUAGAGUGUUCAAAGCGGGUUUUCGCCUGGAUAUUACUCUUGGAAUAAUAAUAUAGGACUUUGGUUCUUUUUUGUUGGUGACUUAGAACCGAAGUAAUGAUUGAUAGGGACAGUUGGGGUCAUUCGUACUAUGAAGCGAGAGGUGAAAUUCACGGACCUUUGUAUGACGAACUACUGCGAAAGCAUUUGACUAGGAUGUUCCCGUUGAUCAAGAACGAAAGUUGGGGGAUCGAAGACGAUCAGAUACCGUCGUAGUCUCAACCAUAAACUAUGCCAGCUAGGGAUUGGAGGAAGAUCAUUUUACGUCUCCUUCAGCACCUUAUGA
Molecule: ribosomal RNA, 467 nt
Filed under: uncultured marine eukaryote
Lineage: Eukaryota
Description: bacterial SSU rRNA
Rfam family: Eukaryotic small subunit ribosomal RNA
Source: RNAcentral